UGACGGGGGCCCGCACAAGCGGUGGAGCAUGUGGUUUAAUUCGAAGCAACGCGAAGAACCUUACCAGGUCUUGACAUACUCGUGCUAUCCUUAGAGAUAAGGAGUUCCUUCGGGACACGGGAUACAGGUGGUGCAUGGUUGUCGUCAGCUCGUGUCGUGAGAUGUUGGGUUAAGUCCCGCAACGAGCGCAACCCUUAUUACUAGUUGCCAUCAUUAAGUUGGGCACUCUAGUGAGACUGCCGGUGAUAAACCGGAGGAAGGUGGGGAUGACGUCAAAUCAUCAUGCCCCUUAUGACCUGGGCUACACACGUGCUACAAUGGAUGGUACAACGAGUCGCCAACCCGCGAGGGUGCGCUAAUCUCUUAAAACCAUUCUCAGUUCGGAUUGCAGGCUGCAACUCGCCUGCAUGAAGUCGGAAUCGCUAGUAAUCGCGGAUCAGCACGCCGCGGUGAAUACGUUCCCGGGCCUUGUACACACCGCCCGUCACACCACGGAAGUUGGGAGUACCCAAAGUAGGUUGCCUAACCGCAAGGAGGGCGCUUCCUAAGGUAAGACCGAUGACUGGGGUGAAGUCGUAACAAGGUAGCCGUAUCGGAAGGUGCGGCUGGAUCACCUCCUUUCUAAGGAA
Molecule: ribosomal RNA, 629 nt
Filed under: Clostridiaceae bacterium
Lineage: Bacteria; Bacillati; Bacillota; Clostridia; Eubacteriales; Clostridiaceae
Also listed under: 1 other name
Description: bacterial SSU rRNA
Rfam family: Bacterial small subunit ribosomal RNA
Source: RNAcentral